UUUCUUUCGCAGAUUGCGAUAUUCGUAGCCUAUGGAAGUCCAUCUGGAGGAUGUGAUUUAUUGCUAGUUGAAAACUUAACCCAAUACCCCGCCUGGGAUGAUUUGAAAUAUAGUCAACCCUGGCAAUUUUUGAUAGUCUCUUGUGAGA
Small nuclear RNA from Salvelinus namaycush (lake trout), 148 nucleotides. RefSeq annotates it as U4 spliceosomal RNA. The transcript has a single exon. The record is from RefSeq and is a predicted model, not a curated record. NCBI's taxonomy places the organism in Eukaryota, Metazoa, Chordata, Actinopteri, Salmoniformes, Salmonidae.